UACGGAGGGUGCAAGCGUUAAUCGGAAUUACUGGGCGUAAAGCGCACGUAGGCGGAUAUUUAAGUCAGGGGUGAAAUCCCGGGGCUCAACCUCGGAACUGCCUUUGAUACUGGGUAUCUUGAGUAUGGAAGAGGUAAGUGGAAUUGCGAGUGUAGAGGUGAAAUUCGUAGAUAUUCGGAGGAACACCAGUGGCGAAGGCGGCUCACUGGCUCGAUACUGACGCUGAGGUGCGAAAGCGUGGGGAGCAAAC
This 250-nucleotide ribosomal RNA is filed under the name uncultured bacterium. RNAcentral describes it as "partial 16S ribosomal RNA". It matches the Rfam family "Bacterial small subunit ribosomal RNA", at positions 524 to 773 of the family's 1533-position model. The record is from RNAcentral.